RNAcentral lists this small RNA (354 nucleotides) under Pongo abelii (Sumatran orangutan). RNAcentral describes it as "retained intron". Lineage: Eukaryota; Metazoa; Chordata; Mammalia; Primates; Hominidae. The record is from RNAcentral.
CAUCGACCUGGUGGCCUUCUUGGGCUACAAAUAUGUCGGGUGAGUACCCCCGCCCUUCGUGUCAGCCCCAGCCCUUGGGCCUUGUCCUCACACAGCCUCCUCUCCCUCCCCCAGGAUGAUUGGCGGGGUCCUCAUGGGCCUGCUCUUCGGGAAGAUUGGCUACUACCUGGUGCUGGGCUGGUGCUGCGUGGCCAUCUUUGUGUUCAUGAUCCGGACCCUGCGGCUGAAGAUCUUGGCAGAGGCAGCAGCUGAGGGGGUCCCGGUGCGUGGGGCCCGGAACCAGCUGCGCAUGUACCUGACCAUGGCAGUGGCGGCGGCACAGCCUCUGCUCAUGUACUGGCUCACCUUCCACCU